GACGAACGCUGGCGGCGUGCUUAACACAUGCAAGUCGAACGGUGAAGCCCUUCGGGGUGGAUCAGUGGCGAACGGGGGAGUAACACGUGAGCAACCUGCCCCUGGCUCUGGGACAACCACUGGAAACGGUGGCUAAUACCGGAUACGACCCGCCUCGGCAUCGAGUGUGGGCGGAAAGUUUUUCGGCUGGGGAUGGGCUCGCGGCCUAUCAGCUUGUUGGUGAGGUGAAGGCUCACCAAGGCGACGACGGGUAGCCGGCCUGAGAGGGCGACCGGCCACACUGGGACUGAGACACGGCCCAGACUCCUACGGGAGGCAGCAGUGGGGAAUAUUGCACAAUGGGCGAAAGCCUGAUGCAGCGACGCCGCGUGAGGGAUGACGGCCUUCGGGUUGUAAACCUCUUUCAGCUCCGAAGAAGCGAAAGUGACGGUAGGAGCAGAAGAAGCACCGGCUAACUACGUG
This 462-nucleotide ribosomal RNA is filed under the name uncultured bacterium. RNAcentral's name for it is "partial 16S ribosomal RNA". It matches the Rfam family "Bacterial small subunit ribosomal RNA", at positions 28 to 507 of the family's 1533-position model. The record is from RNAcentral.